This is a long non-coding RNA of Episyrphus balteatus (marmalade hoverfly), 358 nucleotides long. RefSeq lists it as uncharacterized. NCBI's taxonomy places the organism in Eukaryota, Metazoa, Arthropoda, Insecta, Diptera, Syrphidae. The transcript is spliced from 3 exons. The record is from RefSeq and is a predicted model, not a curated record.
UGUCAAAAAAUUUACUUUUGCUUUCAAACUCAAGGAAAUGGUUUUGUUACUAACGGAGGGGCUGAUUCACAAUUGAUAAUAAUAUUGUCCAAGUGCACAGAGGCACUGGCACAAAACACAUGUGGUCCAAUUUCUUGCGUCACAAUACUCAUAAAAAAUACAUUUAUACCUACUCGACAACCUGAACUCUAUUAUGGCUACCGGCAACAAACGGAGCGGGUUACGGCAAUAUGGUAACAUUAUUUUAUUGGCCUUAUAUCAGGUGUGGAAGGGGAUUUCGUGCGGUUUUCUUUGUGAUACGAACGUGCGGAGAUGCAGGGCGUUUAUUCAAUUUUGAUAUAGUGUUGAAUCCCAGGUG